RNAcentral lists this unclassified non-coding RNA (200 nucleotides) under Oryza sativa (Asian cultivated rice). Lineage: Eukaryota; Viridiplantae; Streptophyta; Magnoliopsida; Poales; Poaceae. The record is from RNAcentral.
ACUGACGUGGAUCUCUUGUAGAGAGCCUAUAGAUAACCAUUGCGGGUGCCCUUAUCAAUCUGCACAAACAUUUGGUUGGAGAAUCGGAAAUCGAGAAAACAUGAAGCGCGCGCAUGCUCGACCAGCAGUACGUAGUUUGACACUUAGAGCACCCGCAAUGGUAAAGUAAGGUGUUCUCUAUAAAGCAUGUACAUCUCAGU